This 21-nucleotide small nuclear RNA is filed under the name Arabidopsis thaliana (thale cress). RNAcentral describes it as "snRNA_06660". The record is from RNAcentral. Lineage: Eukaryota; Viridiplantae; Streptophyta; Magnoliopsida; Brassicales; Brassicaceae.
CGCCGCUAUGAUAUUUAGUUA